UUCCCAUCCCGAACACGGAAGUUAAGCCUUCUUACGCCAAUGAUACUGCCCCUCUAAGAGGCGGGAAAGUAGGUUGUCGCCAAGC
Molecule: ribosomal RNA, 85 nt
Filed under: Spirochaetaceae bacterium
Lineage: Bacteria; Pseudomonadati; Spirochaetota; Spirochaetia; Spirochaetales; Spirochaetaceae
Source: RNAcentral